Molecule: unclassified non-coding RNA, 292 nt
Filed under: Hevea brasiliensis (rubber tree)
Lineage: Eukaryota; Viridiplantae; Streptophyta; Magnoliopsida; Malpighiales; Euphorbiaceae
Source: RNAcentral
AAGAUGAAUAAUUCAUCACAUAAAAAUCAGCUAGAAUUUAUACACUAAUUCCAUAAGUGUUUAAAUCUAUAGUUUAUUAAUUGUGAACUAAUUAAAAGUAUAUGUAAACUAAGAUUCAAAUAAUAAAAAUUAUUUAAUAUAUGUACCUCACCCGUAUCACUCUCCAAAGUCACCGUCUUGAAACAUUGGUUGAACUUGCCAAGUAAUUCAAUCAAUCUAGUAUACCAGGAAAUGUCCAUAUUGUUGGAUUUGAAAGACAAAUGAACCUUUGGUAAGGUCAAAUUGUUUGAAG